GUGAAGGUAGCUCAGUGGUAGAGUGCAUGCCUUGCAAGCAUGAGGCCCUGGGUUCGAUUCCUCAGCACCACA
This 72-nucleotide transfer RNA is filed under the name Dipodomys ordii (Ord's kangaroo rat). It matches the Rfam family "tRNA". Rfam says of the family: Transfer RNA (tRNA) molecules are approximately 80 nucleotides in length. Their secondary structure includes four short double-helical elements and three loops (D, anti-codon, and T loops). Further hydrogen bonds mediate the characteristic L-shaped molecular structure. tRNAs have two regions of fundamental functional importance: the anti-codon, which is responsible for specific mRNA codon recognition, and the 3' end, to which the tRNAs corresponding amino acid is attached (by aminoacyl-tRNA synthetases). tRNAs cope with the degeneracy of the genetic code in two manners: having more than one tRNA (with a specific anti-codon) for a particular amino acid; and 'wobble' base-pairing, i.e. permitting non-standard base-pairing at the 3rd anti-codon position. Lineage: Eukaryota; Metazoa; Chordata; Mammalia; Rodentia; Heteromyidae. The record is from Rfam by way of RNAcentral.